UGGUGCAAAGUGCAAAGACUAUAGUUUGGUCUACAGUUGCUUUCAAGGAGGUGGAUGCCGGUUCUGGUUUAUCUUUUUAACUUUAGUUGGAUCUGAGGAGCAAACCAAGGCAAUUUGUUGAUCUAGGAAAUACUUGCAUUUGAACCUCCUUCUGGAGGGUUAGAAGGAACACUUAUAUUACCCUGUUAUUUAUUUUUGCGUUUUUGUUUCUCUCGCGCAUUCCGUAUUUAUUUGUUCCAGUAGCCUAGGUAAAAAUGUACUGCACAUUGGUAUCAUUUCGGUGGGUAUCAUCUGGUGGUUAUCAUCUAUAUAUAAUGAGCUUACUGUAAACUAUAUUCAAUAGUUGCCUCUUUUAGCUUUUCAUAUUGUGUGAUUAUGCAUCGUUUUGUUGCAUGGUUGGGUGAAUAUUUGCCUGAUCAAUUUUCACCUGGCGACGUAUUGCUAAGAUUCUUUUACAUGUUAUAAAGAUAACACUAUAAUCAGUUCUAGUAUAUGGUUUGUUUUGUCACUAGGUGCGGUAACUUAAGUUGCAUUGUCAUGUACUCCCUCCGUCCCAAAAUAAGUGUCAACUUUGUACUAGCUCUAGUACAAAUUUGUACUAAGCUCAAGACACUUAUUUUGGGACGGAGGGAGUAUUCAGGUAUGAGAACCAUGCAUUCGAUACAAUCUAGGAUUGCAUUAUUAUCUUGAGAGUACUUAGCAUUAUGUCAUGGAAUUGAGGACCCUUCCUUGGCAUUAAUUUGCUUGCUGAGAGGAAGCAUUGUUGAGCAUAUUAUCAGUUUAAUUGCCCCACCUACAGUUGAAGAUUUGAACUGUGUUGUUAGGUUAUGGUUGGUACCACAGUUGAAAUAAUUGUCUGUUGUCUUCAUCCCUUAAAUAAGCGGCUGGUAAUCUAACCCUGCUAGCAGAAAUUAAGGUGUGAUGGUAGGGUUUCCUGUCCUCAUAAAUGUGGCCUGAAACUCCUGGUGCUGGUCGCUUGCUUUUUUUCUUUCUCUUUGGUGAAGUGCCUAUUGUUAGCCAUAUUAAACUAUACUACUGAUCAAGCUAGUGGCAAACUGAAAGCGGCAUAAAUAGUUUAUAUCGUGUAGUAGAAGUUUUAUCUUAGCCAUAUUAAACCAUGCUGAUACAGCAAGUGGCAAACUGAUAGCGGCAUAAAUAGUUUUGUCUCAUAGAAGGUUAAUCUUAUGCCUAAAGUCUCUGGCGACUUGUUCUUGGUAGGAUUUCUGUUGUCAGGGUACUGCUAGGACAUGCUCACGGAGAUUUGCAUAUUUCUGUUGUUCUUUUUAUACUUGGGUAGCUUUGUUUUCAAACCAUGACGUGCAUAAUACUCCCUCUGUUCCAAAUUACUCGUCGCAGAAACGGAUCUUAGUUUCUUACUUGGUUAGCAAUUGUUUUCAAAACUGAUCAACUGCGUGUAGCAACAAAGCCACUAUGGGGUGUACGUACUUCAACUGAACUGCAUAAUACUCGGUUGGCACCAGUUCCAGAUUUCAGGUGUGUUGGUACCACAAUUUGGGUGAGUUGCGUUGUGGAACUGUGGGGCAGAGCAACACGAUGUUGGUGCCUGCGUUAUCUGAAUGAAUGCUGGGGCAAAGCAACUGGGUCCUAGGAUUGCGUAGGAGCAAAUCGCUCGCCGUGUUUGGUGCACGCCACGCCGGGAGACAGGUUGUUUAUGUGCGACACCACGCAAUCCUUGCUCCUUUUGCAAUUAUUUUAGCAGUAAAGCGCAUGUAGGCAUGAGCAUUUGGAGGUCCAUGCUCGAGGAUAGUGCGUGGGCUGCCAUAUCCCUUCCAACGCAAGGCAAAGUGCUAACGGGUAACACAACAUGUUGUUCUUUGUACCAAAUUCAGUUUCCUGUCUUGUGCUUAUAGCAUCGUAUUUUUUUUAUUCCAAAGAUCAUCACUGUACACUCAAAUAAACCAACGAAACCGGGGCAUCGAAAAGCCGUUUUGGACAUGUCCUCUUUGGCCAUAAAAAUUUGAUUAUACUUCGCAUUACCAUCAAGAAAACUAACAACCUUAUGUCGAGAGGCAUCAUUGAUAAGCAUAUCCGCUAUGGGCAUGGGAUACUCAUCUUUGGGUGUAGCUCUAUUUAAAUCUUUGAAAUCAAUGCACACACUUAAUUUGUUGGACCCUUUUUUCUUACCACAGGCACAAUAUUAAAGAUCCAUUUAGUAUACCUACAAGGUCUAAUACAAUUAGCUUUAAGCAAAAGACUGAUCUUGCUAUAAAUAUUAGUGGUAAUAUAAUAUUGAUCUUUUCAAUCGGUCGAUUUUAUCCAGCGUUGUCUGUAUGCAAUUUUUAUACAAUUAAUUUUUCUUUUGAAGUUGUUAAUCAUGUUGCCUUCCAUAGUAUUUUAAUUGAAAUACAAGAUGCAAACCAAAUUGGUUUUGGGGAAGUGCGAAGAUUUCAUUGUCUCCUUUUAUUUGCAUUUGAAGCAAGCCCAUCAGCAAUCACUCUUCUUACUUUAUUCUAUAUCGUGUAUGCCACUUUUAGUGAAUACACAUGACUAUUACUUCCUCGGUCCCAAAAUAAGUGUCGCUAAUUUAGUAUAACUUUAUACUAAAUCAGCGGCACUUAUUCUUAGGGGGUGGAGGGUUAUAAUUUAAUGUUUUUUGGGGAUUGGAUGCUCGUGUCAUUUUCAAGUUCGUAUAGUUUGUUUGAGACACUGCAAUUACAUUUGAGCAUUUUAUUUCUUUGUCUUCACCACUGCAAUGGCAGGUUUGAAUCUCUGAGUUCCUACUUGCUAAAAUGUGAGUUAUCCCAUUGCUUGUGCACAAUUUACUGAUCUACUCCCUCCGUUCUGAAUUACUUGUCACAUGUAUGGAUGUAUCUAAAUGUAUUUUAGUUCUAGAUACAUCCGUUUCUGCAACGAGUAAUUUGGAACGGAGGGAGUAUAUAUGUAGCUUCACUGAUAGAGGCUUUUAGGUUUUUCUGGAGAAAUCCUUAGGCCAAUAGAAAUUAGUGGGCUUAUUCCUUUCUGGACAUUAUCACAAACAACGGAGACGAAAUUGACCUAAAAUUCUGUGCAUUUAGUGAACUGACUAUGUUGUUCAGUAAUCUUGCAAGAUCAUCCAACAUGCCUUGGGUCAGAUUGAUGUAGCUUUGAUUAGUUUUUUUAUUUCUAUCACAAUGUUUAUUUAGUAUGUUCAAUAUCUUCUGUAGUGCUGUAAUGUACUUAGAUGUGUUGUCUGAGAGUAACUUCUUGUUUGCACGCCGAUGUUGAUGAAAUAUCGGCAGAACUCACUCCCUGUCUGGGACAAAGGUAGUCUGGGAAAAUCCUUGUCUGCUCUCUAGAUCAUUAGCAUUGUAAUUUCAAUCACCCGCAAAAAAGCGUUGUAAUUUCAAUGGCCUCGAUAUUUUAGCCUGGUACCUAUGCAAUGCUAUGUGCGGUAGUAUAAACCUUCUACAGGUUCGUGUCUAGGUGAGGUAUCUGCAGUAAUUCCUGAUUGGUAGUAAUUCUAAACAAAUACUUGUACUGCCUUAUCGUAUGUCUAUCCGGCGGGUAGUAUCCUUUGUACUACUGGACAGGGGGAAUGUAUCCGAUGCACCCGCACUUGUGGUACUACCGAUACACCGGAUGCCAUAGAAUAUUUUAAAAAAUCUGAAAAAAAUUAGCAUGUUAACACAACAUCAAUGUAUGAUGUCAGAAAAUUUCAUAUAAAAAGUUGAAAUAUUUUUUGAGACACAAAAAUGACAAAUUUAACAUCAGUGUGAUAAUGGGCCAAAUCUAAAGCCCAAAUUAUGUUAUGUACUAUUCAGUGUUGAAUCUGUCAUUUUUCUUUUGGGCGUUAUGUUUUGAAUUUUGACUUGAAAUUUUGUGACAAUCUACAUUGAUGUUGUGCAAGCAUGCUAAUUUUUUUUCAUAAUUUUUUGAACAUUUUAAAAGCACAAUGUGAGUUUGGUGCACCGGUAGCACCACAAACUUCGGUGCACUAGAUAUUUCCCCAUCCGGACAAUGGCCUAGGCAGAGGAUUGUAAACCAGGGCGGUCUAACUGACCCUUCUUUGCUUCCACAAACACGACAUGAUAACAUAGCAGCAGUAUAUAAUUCAUUGAAAUCAAACUGACAAGAAUCAAGCAGUUCAGUUCUACGAAAAAAAUGUCCAAUUGAACAAUUCUCAAUGAUAGUUAAUCAGUUCAAUUCUACAACAAAAACGUUUAUCAAAUCAAAUCCGCUCACAGUUAUGGUUUUCUUCAAACCAUGGCUCUCAGUUAUGCUUGUUCUUGUUCAAAAGCGAAAGGGUGCUUUGAAUGAGACGAAAUCAUUAAAAAAAACUUGCAUGCCGGUAGUCAGGCCGGUGCUGCUACUGAGGCCAUUGUUCUCUAAAUGGCGCUCAGGGUAUCAGGAGGACGCAGGAGUAUCGUACGAGGAAACAAAUGGAAAUAUCCAGUGCCAGUGGAUUGGUAGGUGGUUCUAUAUGGGAGCACCUAUAGGCCGCUCGUUGUGGCGAAAUGCCGGCGCUUCGCACAGGAGCGGCUAGCGUGGGCCGGCCCAUUUACAGUGGCACACGGCGGAACGUUCCCGAGAUGAAAAAUCGCAAAAAAGAAAUUAGCGCUCGCGCUGUAACUCAAACACGCGACUUCGCACUAACUGGCCUGCCGUGCAAACCACUGCGAUGUAGACAUUCUCACGUUCAACUAGCAGCGCGACAGUUAAAGACUACAGAUAAUUUAUUGGGUCGAACCGACGACCUCCUACAACUGAAUUUUCCAAAAUUAUGAAUAUUUUCUUCAAAAUAAAAACAUUUUCCGAAUUUUCGUACAAAUUUUGUAAAACAGGAACAUUUUGAUGAUGUGAACAAAUUUGAGAAAGGGGAACAUUUCUUGAAUUUGUGACCAAAAAACAAAAAUGUUUAUAUUUUUAAAACUUCUAGAACAUUUUUUGAAUUUGUGAUUUUAUUUGAAAAACAUGAACUAUUAUUGAAUUUGUGAACAAAUUUUGAAAACUGGAAUAUUUUUUUCAAUUCCCAAACAUUAUUUGAAUCUUGAGAAAUUUUUUUGAAAUGGUGAACAAUUUUAAAAAAUCCUGAACAAAUUUGGAAGCGCGAACAAUUUUUUAAAGCAUGAACAUUUUUGAAUCUUGAGAACAUAUUUCGAAACGGAGAGAAAUUUUGAAAAAUUCCGAACAAAUUUGGAAGUCGGAACAAUUUCUUAAAGCACAAACAUUUUCUGAAUCUUGAAAACAUAUUUUGAAACGGAGAGAAUUUUGAAAAAUCCUGAAAAAAUUUUGGAAGAGCUAACAUUUUUUGAAUAUGUGAAAAAAAAUUUUGAAAUUCAGUACAUUUUCUGAAUUUCAGAACUUUUGUACUUUUUUCUGUAACAAGAACAAAUUUUGAAUUUUGAGAACAUUUUUUGGAAACACGAACAAUAUUUAGUUUUUUGUUUUUUAAAGGACAAGAAGAAAAGAAAAGGAAAUAAAAAAGAAAAUCAUAAACAUUUGUAAAACUACGAACAUAUUCUGAAAAAGAAAAAUAAACUUGAAAAAGAAAAUGAAACAAGAAACAAAAAACGAAAAAAUGAAAAAGAAACAGAAACGAAAAAAAGGGAAAUAAAAAAACAAUAGAAAGCCAAAAAAGAACCAGCAAAAACGAUACAGGCAAAAAACCGGUUCAUGGAACCUUCUGGAAGGUUCCCAAAACCGGUUUGGACGCAUUAUGUGUGGGCCGGCCCAUUUCUGUCCCUCGCUGCGCUGCCCCUGUGCAAUCGCUCGACAGUUUGCCGCAGCGAGCGGCGAAUAGGAUUUUCCGUUCUUUAUGACGCCGAUUAGAACAACAAGGCGCGUAGGAAGCCUUGGUGGGCCGCGGCCGAACAAGCAGCUAUUUAUGUUAAUUUUGAAAACCUUGAUGUAAACCAAAAAUAUUCCCGAAUUCACAAAAAUUUAUUAAUUUCAAAACAUAUUAGUGACUAACAAAAAAUGUCAAAAUUUACGGGCCAAAAUCUUCUUAAUUUUGAAAGCUUUGGUGAAGAAAACAAUAUUCGAAAAUUUGAAAACAAAACCAGGAAAUCAUUUUUUUCAUGAAUUUGGAAAACUGUUCGCAAAUUUAAAACAUCUUCACUAUUUUGAAAAAAUAUGGUUACCUUUUUUUAAAACUUCAUUCUUUAUAAAAGGUCAUGGAUUUCAAAAGAGUUCAUGAUUUUCAAAAAUAUCUUGGGAUCUAAAUAAAAGCUCAUAAAUUUUUUAAAACCUUUUGAAAUCAUAAAGGUUCAUGAAUUUGAAAGGGAGUUCAUAAUUAAUUUGAAAAAAAAAUCAUGGAAUUUUAAAAAGACGAUUUUUUGAAACUUUUGUUAAAAAAAUGAAAUGUAACAAACCCUAUAUGAAAAAUCGAGACCGGAAGCUUUAGCUUGCCACAAACCCUAUAUGCGGCCUUAAGCGCCGUUUAUAGUUCAUUGUGCAAACCGUCGCACCCCCCUCUACUCUGGACCGGCCCGUUCAUAGUUUUUUUUUCUGUUUUAAACUAUUAAAAGUGAAGCCCUAGACGUGAUUUGAACUGGGUACCUCCAGGUUUUAUGUACGAAAUGGAUAACCAAGUGGGGCAUCCGACCUCUUGUGGCUACAUUGCCCUUUUUUCCUUUUUGAAAUGCAAUGCUAAAAAGCGCAACGUUUCCUGUUUGGUUUUAAUUUUUAGGUUUUGGUUUUUUGUUUGUGCAUAAUUCUUUAUUAGGUUUGUGAACACUUUUUUCAAACAGAUGAACUUUUUUUUCAAAUUUUGAUGAACUUUUUUCAAAAUUGAUGAACUUUUUUCAAACUCAUGAAAUAUUUUUGAAAAUCGACGAACUAUUUUUCAGAAAAAUGAACUUAUUUCAAAUUCUUGAACUUUUUUGAAAUUGAUGAACUUCUUUCAAAAUUGAUGAACUGUUUUGAAUUUUGUGAACCUUUUCAAUUUUUCAUGAUUUUAUUUUUGCAAUAUCGAUGAACAUUUUUAAAUUUCCCUUCUUUUUCAAUUUUAGAAAAGGCAAUGAUCCAGUGUCAAAAAUUAAACGACCGACCAAGGCAGUAAAGAAUUGACUAGGCGAGCGAACCUGUCGGUCCAUGGAGGGGAUCGAGCGAGUGUUUGUAUUAAUGGGCCGGCCUAACUCACCAAGCGCUUGAGACGCCGUAUAGGAGGGGUGAUCCCUAUUUGACGCUCGCGAGCGUCCAGGUGCUGCGCUUCCGCUGAAGCGCUGGAGCGGGCACCACAAAACGGGCCAGCCCACUUCGAGCUUUAGAGCAGUUAAGGUUCCCUCAACCCGUUUUUUCCUGGUGUUUUGUUUUGCCGGUUUUCAGGUUUGCCCUGUUUUCUUUUUUUUAUUUUUCUUUUUCUAUUUUCCCUUUCCUUUAAUUUAUCAUUUUUCUUUUUUUCUUUUAUCCUUUUUUUUCAUUUUUAAAUUCCUAUUUUUCAUGAUUUGGAUAAUUGUCCGAAGUUUUCAAAUUUGGUUCAGUUUUUGAAAAUUUAUUCACAAUUCAAAAAUUGUUCAUCGUAUAUAAAAAAAAUUCAAUGUGUAUUUAACUUUUGUUUAGCGUAUAUCAUAAAAUUGUUCAAUGUGUACCUAAAAUUGUUCAGUGUAUAUUACUCAAAAUGCUCAAUGUACAUUUAAAAGUUAUUCAUCGUAUAUCACAAAAAUCUCCAGUGUAUUUGAAAUAUUUUUCAGUGCAUAUCACAAAAAUGCAGUGACAAAAUUUUCAUCGUAUAUUGAAAAAAGUUGAAUAUAUAUUUAUUUUUUUAUCAAACAUAACAAAUCAAUAAAUGUUUGGAAUUUCAUAAUUGUAUUCAUGUUUUAAAUAAUUGUUCACGAUUAAAAAAUAAAUUUUAGAAGUUUUUUUGAGUUUUUGGAUUUGGUCGAGAAAACAUUAUUCAAUUCUGUUAAGGAAGAUUCAAAAUUAGAUCUGCCCGUGCACAUAGUACUUCAAGUUUGGCGCUGUAAUUUAACACAAACCUAGUCCCUAGUUGCAGCGGCUGGCCCCACAGUUAUUUAGCCUUAGUUCCAGGGUUUGACUCCAUCCUAGGAAGGCAUUUUUCGUGACAGUUUUGUUGUUGUUGAGAAAACCGUGACAGUUUUUAUUGCGUUCGCUCCUCUGGGAAUGGGCCUGCCUGUUUGGGCAAAUUCUUCAGCGAACCCUGCGCGAAGGCUCCCCUGUUUGACAAUAACUAGCGUCGAACAGGAGCUCUCUAUAGGAGGCCCCCUCGCUUGCUACGAGAUGGUAGAACCACUCGGCAAAAGCUGGGCUACCCAGUAGCUCACGAGACGUACGUUUUUCUGUUCUUUAUUUUAUUGUUUUUUGUACUUUUGAUUACGGGUUGAAACACUUAAAAUAGAUAUAUUCCAAAAUUAAUUUUAUUUAAUUUAUUAAAACAAUUCAUCGCACAUUUAAACAAUAUUCAUGCAGUGCAAAAUUGUUCAUGCAAUUAUGUACAAUUAAAAAUAUGCACGCAUUUUAAAAAUAUAUUUGUAAAUUUUGUAAACAUGACCGAGACACCUCUUCGGUCAAUAACCAAUGCGGAAUCUGGAUGCUUAUAUUGGCACUUACAUAUUUUAUAAAGAUCUUUAUCUUUCGAACCGUUAUGACAACAUACAUAAUUUUCUUUGUCUAUCGGUAUGUUACUUGCCACACACUGGUACGCAUCGGUGCUAUACAAACAGUUUUUAACCCCUUUCCACGACGACAUUUGGAACCGUCGCCUAAUGAGUGACGGCGAUAGGGGGGUCCUUCUCACACGAUCCAAAAACUAUCGGGGAUAUUCCCUUCUGGCACACACGCUCGGGAAAAUGAGGUCGUGUGUGACCGGCGAGCGCUUAAAUACGGAAAUACGUACAGCAGAGCUAAAAAAAUCAAUUAUACAGGCAAUAUUAUUUCCGAUCGCAAGUACAUCCCACACCGUCAGUCCCCGCUAAACGUUUCCGUUCGUAUAUACAUUCCACACAGUCGCAUCAAGGAAAACGUUUCCGUUCACAGAUACAUCACACACAAUUUUCCCCGUUAAAUCGUUUGUGAUAGCGUUGCCAUUGUACACGAUAUCAACAAUUUUAUCGUUUGCGUUAUUGAAUGCAUCACACACGGUGCAUAGAAAAACUGUGUGGCAAAGACUGUCCAUCACACAAUUUUUAUGUGGUAAACGUUUGCGCAAGGUGCCUAAAGUUAACAGUUUUCAAGAGGAUGUCGUGUGUGCAGUGGAGAUUGAUCGCACACGUAGUGGAUCCUAGAGACAUUUCUGAUCUACACGUCUAUCGCAGACGUUUCACUUUCGCAAACCGUGUGCAAUGUAAUCCCCAAUUAAUCCCUAAUUUGAAAAUCACAUGUUUUUAAUUUGAAAGUAGUCAAUCACAUAUUUCAUAUCCAACCAUGUUUAUUACAAAUAUAGGUUCAACCACGAAUGCAUAAUUCGAUGCACAUGUACAUAUACUGAAGAACUACAGAAGCACCAAGUAAAGAAUAAUGAACCACAGUUGUACUAAAGACUAUAAAGAGAGAGGCGAAAGACAUUCUGGUCGCUGGAGAAGGUGAAGUGGAAUGCCCAUAUUGUGCCCUCCUCCAUGCGUAAUGCGCGCACGACUCUAGGCCAACCCCUUGUGAUGGCGGCCCAUCCAUCCUUCACUGUCUUCAUCACGACUUCUCGAUGCUCAUUGUAGUCUAGAUGAAAUAUUGUAACCUUCAUUGCAUGUCCACCAAUCAUGUAAUUUGCAAGGUAAUCUUGAGUGAACUGUUUCGGGAACCACUACAAACAAAAAA
This 9708-nucleotide long non-coding RNA is filed under the name Triticum aestivum (bread wheat). RNAcentral's name for it is "long non-coding RNA (TAES_LNC024698)". The stretch from base 2786 to 2900 matches the Rfam family "MIR1120/MIR1122 microRNA precursor family". The record is from RNAcentral. Lineage: Eukaryota; Viridiplantae; Streptophyta; Magnoliopsida; Poales; Poaceae.